AAACCGCGGCUCGGGCGGAUGACGCGACGAAAAAUACUAUUUUAAUCAAAUUCGGGCGGGUGGCGGUUUAACGACGCAUGGACCCAUAGAACUACUCACGUACACCGUGUGCACCGCGCCUUUUUUUUAAUCGAGACUCGUUUUCGUUGUUUGCUAUAUGAUUGUUCUAAAAUCUAAAAUCGUGGGUGCAAAUGGAGAGUUUGGAGUUCAAGUUUUUAGAUUAUCACCACAAAAUUGCAUAAAAGCUUUGGUUGGAAUUAAACACUAAAACAUAUUUUCAGUUUUACAGGUGACUACCCAACAGGCUGUGGAGCUGUAAAUACUGUGAGUUCAGUUGUGAUAAGAGAGGUUACUACCUCAGACACUACAGAACACUAAUUUCUGUCUUUUUUUUUUUUUUUUUUUUUUUUAGAUUUGUCUGGAAUUCAAAAGGAUUGUGGGAAAAGACCUGCACCAGGAAUUUUAUUCUGCCCUUGAUAACCACACUACCCAUUUUAUUGAAAGUUUUAAAGCUAAGAGGGGCAACGUGGGUGACAGUUGGCACAGCUUUUGCAGCAAAUACAGUCACUGGAUUCUACUGAAAAAAGGACAGUCACACUAAGAGGUCUUCCUUACUUACUCGGAGACAAUCCCACUGAAUUCUUCAAAUCUAGAAGCUUUGAUGGUGAUGAAUCCUUUCGCCAAAUGGACAUUGGGAUCUUGUUAGUAAAUCUGAAGGUGUCUCUCUUCCAACACCAGAUCUUCCCCCAGCUGCCUGAAAAUCAUCAUUGAGGGUGAAAUUGUUAUGGACAAGCUGACGACCCUUAUAACCCCUUGUUUGAAUUGUGAAAUGUAAAACACAAAAGCAAAUGCU
This is a long non-coding RNA of Boleophthalmus pectinirostris (great blue-spotted mudskipper), 853 nucleotides long. RefSeq lists it as uncharacterized. Lineage: Eukaryota; Metazoa; Chordata; Actinopteri; Gobiiformes; Gobiidae. The transcript has 3 exons. The record is from RefSeq and is a predicted model, not a curated record.